This 359-nucleotide long non-coding RNA is filed under the name Androctonus crassicauda. Lineage: Eukaryota; Metazoa; Arthropoda; Arachnida; Scorpiones; Buthidae. The record is from RNAcentral.
UCUCGUGCAAUACUCUGUACUUAAUCUUUAGAUUUUCGAAAGGAUUAGAGUUAUUCUAGCGAUAACUAUUCUGCAGAUUAAACCGAAAGUCGUGCAACCGGCCCUUAAGGAUUAAAGAAUAUCAACAUUAAUAUAAUGAAUGCCAAUCUCUCUACUGCCCUAGUUAAGAGGUUUUACAACUUCCAAAUUAUGUGGAAUGUAGCAAAAGCUUUAAGAAGCAACAAAGAUUUGUUUGUAGAAGAAUCGUUAAUAAUAGCACAGAGAAAGAAAUUUGUGAUAGUUAUUAACAAUCAACUAAGCAUGUCUGUUUCUAAGGCAUGGCAAUACAGCAUAUAUUAUAAUAUAUAAUUAUGAUGUCA